CCUACGGGAGGCAGCAGUGGGGAAUUUUGGACAAUGGGGGAAACCCUGAUCCAGCCAUCCCGCGUGUAUGAUGAAGGCCUUCGGGUUGUAAAGUACUUUUGGCAGAGAAGAAAAGGUAUCUCCUAAUACGAGAUACUGCUGACGGUAUCCUGCAGAAUAAGCACCGGCUAACUACGUGC
RNAcentral lists this ribosomal RNA (179 nucleotides) under uncultured bacterium. RNAcentral's name for it is "partial 16S ribosomal RNA". It matches the Rfam family "Bacterial small subunit ribosomal RNA", at positions 338 to 508 of the family's 1533-position model. The record is from RNAcentral.